UGCCUGGAAGUAUAAUUUUCCUGCGUUAACCGGUUAACCUAUAGCGUUAACCGGUUAACACUGUUGCAGUAUGUAAAAAUGGUUGAUUUUUAUGAUGUAAGUGUAAUUGGUGAUUGGCCUAUUGUAUCCAAUUGUGAUAAAUAAAUUCGUGGAGUCUAUGUUGUGAAAUGUUGAUGCAAAUAUGUUGAUAAGUUGUUUUUGUGGAAAAUAUUAAGUUGUAGGCUGAUGAGCCAAAGUUGAAU
This 242-nucleotide long non-coding RNA is filed under the name Lathyrus oleraceus (garden pea). Its description in RNAcentral is "Pisum sativum (pea) long non-coding RNA (PSAT_LNC005403)". The record is from RNAcentral. Lineage: Eukaryota; Viridiplantae; Streptophyta; Magnoliopsida; Fabales; Fabaceae.